CAGCCGCCACGGUAAUACGGAGGGUGCAAGCGUUAAUCGGAAUUACUGGGCGUAAAGCGUGCGUAGGCGGUUCGUUAAGUCUGUUGUGAAAGCCCCGGGCUCAACCUGGGAAUGGCAAUGGAUACUGGCGAGCUAGAGUGUGUCAGAGGAUGGUGGAAUUUCCGGUGCAGCGGUGAAAUGCGUAGAGAUCGGAAGGAACAUCUGUGGUGAAGGCGACUAUCUGGGCCAACACUGACACUGAGGCACGAAAGCGUGGGGAGCAAACAGGAUUAGAUACCCCUGUAGUCCCUGUCUCCUAUAA
RNAcentral lists this ribosomal RNA (301 nucleotides) under uncultured bacterium. RNAcentral describes it as "partial 16S ribosomal RNA". It matches the Rfam family "Bacterial small subunit ribosomal RNA", at positions 509 to 809 of the family's 1533-position model. The record is from RNAcentral.